UUGAGGACAUUCUUGCAGAGCUCAGAUCCAUCCACAUCCAACGCUGCAACCCAGAAUGCGGCAGCAAGAAGCCGGGAGGGUGGUGGUGGCGAUGGUGUUGGGAGGAGGCUGCACCAGCUGCACCACCAUGGGAAUGUGGAUCUUGGCAAGAAAUCGUCCGGGGUGGCAAGGCGGCGCCUGGCAUUGUUGCAGCAGGAAAAUGGAGUGGAUUGCAGCGACAGCAAGGGACCUGGUGAAGAACAUGGAGGAGCUGGAGAUGCUCACAGGAGCGUGCCAUUGCCAUGCACCGGCGGCGAGGUGGGCAGCAAGUCGGAGCCGGCGGCGGCGGUUGCACCGGCGGUGAUCGUGGAUGUGAAGGAGGAGGAGAAGAGCGUCGGCAAUGGCGGCGGCGGCGGUGGAGCCAAGAAGCGGCGAGGUGGUGGCGCGCCGGCGGUGCUGAUGGAGGGGUCACGGUGCAGCCGCGUGAACGGGCGAGGGUGGCGGUGCAGCCAGCCGACGCUCGUCGGCUACGCGCUCUGCGAGCACCACCUCGGCAAGGGAAGGAUGCGGAGCGUCACCGGCGGCGGCGGGGGACGCGGCGGCGCCAGCCAGCUCGGCCGCACCGAGCACCGGCCGCCGGCGACGGCGAGGAACCCCGCCGCCGCGGCGGCGCCGCCGCCCAAGGCCGACGAGCCAGGCCCGAAUCAUAUCGCGCACCAUUAA
This 702-nucleotide long non-coding RNA is filed under the name Oryza sativa Indica Group (long-grained rice). RNAcentral's name for it is "lncRNA OsPr106_06g0007230". Lineage: Eukaryota; Viridiplantae; Streptophyta; Magnoliopsida; Poales; Poaceae. The record is from RNAcentral.